RNAcentral lists this non-coding RNA (28 nucleotides) under Mus musculus (house mouse). The record is from RNAcentral. Lineage: Eukaryota; Metazoa; Chordata; Mammalia; Rodentia; Muridae.
UGAGAAGACCCUUGCAGGAAUAUGUCGA